CACGUGCUUUCAAGUUCAAGAAAGAAAAAGUAGUCUGACACUUUUGAAGCAUGGAGGAAGUUGGUCAAACUAUUGUCUGUAUUUGGUGGAAGCUUUGUCUAGUCCUAUAGUGGACCACAGUGACAUAGUCAGGACCAUGGAAAGAGACCAUUGCUGAGGAGAGCGAGUUCCUGGCCAAUCAGGACAUGACGAAGCUGCUCGUAAAGAUGCAGAGUCUGAUGACACACUGGAUGAUGAACCUGAGGAUUUGUACCAACCUGGUGAGGAGGACUUUGACCCCAAUGAGGAUAACUUACUAGCGGAGCUCCACCUAGCAACCAGCGGUAGCAACACACCCGGAGUUUGUACUAACCUGGUGAGGUGGACAUUUGUGUCAUACUUUGUAGAGUCCCUUAAAGUCAUUCAAGAACGAGCUCCGGGAGAGUACACAGGUGGUGACAGAAGAGGAGAGAGAACAUGUGAUGAGUGGCAACUUUGAUCAGCUGUUGGCAGAACAAGAGAGAAUGGACAGAGAGAGAGAUAAUGAGCUAAGGAGAAGAGAAGAAGCACUGAGUGGAAGAAGAGGCCUACUAUGCUGCUAAGAGAGGGGCCUCACGUAAACUGACCACUCAGACGCUAACAGACCUCAACAGUAUGGAAAAGGGUCUGUCAUCAGAGACUAAAAACUCCCCUGACACCCAGCCCUUACAUGCAGCCCACCUCCAGUCUGGUGAGCAGCCUAUAAGCAGUGAGGGACAGUCUGAAGACAUGGGUCCAUGGACAGGGGCUACUGAGGAACCUUCAUCAAGAACAAGUUCCCGAGCCCCACCCCUCACUGUCUGACUCGGAAGAGGAGAUAGACUUUGGAUUCUGGGAGAAGGUGUCCACCCUACCCUCGGACAAGACCCCAACCAUGCAAGGACCUGAACUUGUUAUGAGACUGUCACAUAAUUAGUAUAAUUAUUGUCGGUUUCUUGUCUAUUCGGGAAAUUUAAUUAUGUACCAACUAAUGCCAUUGAUUGUUUUUGCAUAA
Long non-coding RNA from Halichondria panicea, 1012 nucleotides. RefSeq lists it as uncharacterized. The record is from RefSeq and is a predicted model, not a curated record. The transcript has 6 exons. NCBI's taxonomy places the organism in Eukaryota, Metazoa, Porifera, Demospongiae, Suberitida, Halichondriidae.